Desulfurella amilsii is the source of this 121-nucleotide non-coding RNA. The record is from Rfam. NCBI's taxonomy places the organism in Bacteria, Pseudomonadati, Campylobacterota, Desulfurellia, Desulfurellales, Desulfurellaceae.
AAGGGAGAGGCCCCUCGGGAUCGGCUUGCAGGAGCAGGUCUCAAACCGCCACAAGCUGCCUGGAUCAAGAGUCCCGGUGGUGAACGUUCUGGUUAAAAGGCUCCGCUGGAUGGAGUCAGGU